This 216-nucleotide ribosomal RNA is filed under the name Glomeromycotina sp. RNAcentral describes it as "partial small subunit ribosomal RNA". The stretch from base 44 to 216 matches the Rfam family "Eukaryotic small subunit ribosomal RNA", at positions 690 to 864 of the family's 1831-position model. The record is from RNAcentral. Lineage: Eukaryota; Fungi; Glomeromycota.
GGGUCAGUAGGUUGGUCGUGCCACCGGUACGUACUGGUCUCACUGAUUCCUCCUUCCUGAAGAACCGUAAUGCCAUCAAUUUGGUGUUGCGGGGAAACAGGACUGUUACUUUGAAAAAAUUAGAGUGUUUAAAGCAAGCUAACGCUUGAAUACAUUAGCAUGGAAUAAUGAAAUAGGACGAUCGAUCCUAUUUUGUUGGUUUCUAGGAUUGACGCA